Anser brachyrhynchus (Pink-footed goose) is the source of this 1646-nucleotide long non-coding RNA. The record is from Ensembl. Lineage: Eukaryota; Metazoa; Chordata; Aves; Anseriformes; Anatidae.
CUUGCGAACAAUUUCUGUACUUGCAUAGAGUAUUUUUUUAAUGUCAUUCAGUUUCAAUUUCAAAUUUUAUAUUUGUUAAUAACAUUUUUUUUACUAUAUCUAAAGAUUGCCAUCUACUGGCAUGUAAUAGCUUUGGGGUCUGUUAUUGUUCAUAAAUCUGAAAAUUCAAUAAAGUUAUUUUCUCAGCUGAUUCUGUGAUUGCAUUUUAUUUCAUAGGAUAGGGGCAAUAGUUGGGGAAACAUUAACAGCAUUUACUUUAUCAUGCCAACUACAGUGCAAUAUGUGGUUAAUUAAAAGCCCAUUAGAGCAAAGCACUGAUUUUUCCCAUGUGAAUGAGCUUUCUAUUCCCCCAAAUUAAGCAAUGUUUCAUAUUUCUCUAAGAACAGAAGAACACGUUAUUUAAGUUAAAAAUGUACUGUUUCUUUAAACGUUUGAAGCAAUGCUAUCCUCCUGGUAUAUAGCAGUUUGGUGGCUCAGUAAACAAGAUGGGGGUAGAACUAUGCAAAUUCCAAAAUUGUGAGAGACUCCUCUCCCUCCUCAAGUGAAUUUUUAGUUUACCCUAAAAUUCCUUAGGUGUCUAGACCCUGAUUCAUCACAGCUUCCCCUCUAGUCAGCAGAGCAUGGGGACCUCUGGAGGAACAUAUUAGCUGAGAAGAAAGGGCAGAUGUGACCCCAAGCAAGCUUUGAGCAGGUAAAUAGGAGCACUGAAUCCCUGCUGCAAGGUUCAGUGUUGAUACGCACCUGGGACUACUACAGUCUUAAAAGUUAGUGGCAGCUGUUGGUAACUACUCCUACAUUGAUUUCAUAUGGGUUGGCAGAAUGUGCUCCAGGUGUGCAAAAGGGAUUGGUCCCAUGUACAAUGACCUGUUUUUCCCUGAGAAGGUUGGGGAGUGUUGGGAGCUGGUGUUUGCAGGGGUAAGCUGAGGAAGCAGUCUGUGUGUCUUGUAGGAGCUGUGAUUCCUGAGCAGAAAUCCACCCUCAUAACUGAUGAUCAAACAGGCUCUUGCAUUGGCCACAUUCGAAGCUACAGCAGCAGAAUGCCAGAUGAGAUGCAGCAAACUGCACCGCUCUGGCUGAGUAGCCAACCGAGGAAGAAACUGCUGAAUUCCUAAUUUCCAUCCAAGUGACUUGCUGCUUUUCAUGCUCCUCGCCCUGUGUAUUAUCUGCAAUCUACUGAGAACAUGAAUUUCACUGUUGUGGUUUUCUUUUUUUUUUUUAAAUUUUAAGUAUAUUUUGGAAGUCGAGAGCAAACAGCAGAAAGAUGAAAGAGAAGAGACGUUUCACUUACCUCCAUGCUUUCAGCCCAGUGGGUGUGUGAAUUUCCACGGCUGUCGGCAGAAGUCAGCCGGCCAAGCGCCUGUGUGGCACUUACAGUGUUGGGCAGCCUCCUCUGACUUGUUUCCUGCAUGAUUCAUGACAGUGCAUUCAGGAGUGACUUUUUCCUAGGUAUAAAAAUUUGAGUUCUGCUUCUUGCUGAGGGAGUUUUGGCUAUGUGUCUUCAGAGUGGGCUUAAGCCUUAAAGUGGGUAAAUAGCACUGAAAGCAAUGGCCUUUUGGUCAUUGCACAAGCACAGAUGUCACAAAUGUUUUUCUUUAUCCUUGUAAAGUUCUGCACAGAACAAUGGUAACAAGAAUCAAAUAGGUCAG